This 497-nucleotide ribosomal RNA is filed under the name uncultured bacterium. RNAcentral describes it as "bacterial SSU rRNA". It matches the Rfam family "Bacterial small subunit ribosomal RNA", at positions 28 to 507 of the family's 1533-position model. The record is from RNAcentral.
GAUGAACGCUAGCGACAGGCUUAACACAUGCAAGUCGAGGGGCAGCGGGGCUGAAAGCUUGCUUUCAGCUGCCGGCGACCGGCGCACGGGUGAGUAACACGUAUGCAACCUGGCCGUGACAGAUGGAUAACCGGGAGAAAUUCCGCCUAAUACAGCAUAACACCACUGGAUGACAUCCUCCGGUGGUCAAAGGAGGCGACUCCGGUCACGGAUGGGCAUGCGGCGCAUUAGGUAGUUGGUGAGGCAACGGCUCACCAAGCCGACGAUGCGUAGGGGUUCUGAGAGGAAGGUCCCCCACAUUGGAACUGAGACACGGUCCAAACUCCUACGGGAGGCAGCAGUGAGGAAUAUUGGUCAAUGGCCGGAAGGCUGAACCAGCCAAGUCGCGUGAGGGAAUAAGGCCCUACGGGGUGUAAACCUCUUUUGUCCGGGAGCAAGGACAUCCACGUGUGGAUGUUCGGAGAGUACCGGAAGAAAAAGCAUCGGCUAACUCCGUG